UAGGGAAUCUUCGGCAAUGGACGAAAGUCUGACCGAGCAACGCCGCGUGAGUGAAGAAGGUUUUCGGAUCGUAAAACUCUGUUGUUAGAGAAGAACAAGGACGUUAGUAACUGAACGUCCCCUGACGGGAUCUAACCAGAAAGCCACGGCUAACUACGUGCCAGCAGCCGCGGUAAUACGUAGGUGGCAAGCGUUGUCCGGAUUUAUUGGGCGUAAAGCGAGCGCAGGCGGUUUCUUAAGUCUGAUGUGAAGGCCCCCGGCUCAACCGGGGAGGGUCAUUGGAAACUGGGAGACUUGAGUGCAGAAGAGGAGAGUGGAAUUCCAUGUGUAGCGGUGAAAUGCGUAGAUAUAUGGAGGAACACCAGUGGCGAAGGCGGCUCUCUGGUCUGUAACUGACGCUGAGGCUCGAAAGCGUGGGGAGCAAACAGG
Molecule: ribosomal RNA, 429 nt
Filed under: Chloroflexota bacterium
Lineage: Bacteria; Bacillati; Chloroflexota
Description: Chloroflexi bacterium partial 16S ribosomal RNA
Rfam family: Bacterial small subunit ribosomal RNA
Source: RNAcentral